This 334-nucleotide unclassified non-coding RNA is filed under the name uncultured fungus. RNAcentral's name for it is "partial contains 5.8S ribosomal RNA and internal transcribed spacer 2". The stretch from base 1 to 134 matches the Rfam family "5.8S ribosomal RNA", at positions 22 to 154 of the family's 154-position model. Lineage: Eukaryota; Fungi. The record is from RNAcentral.
UGGUUCUGGCAUCGAUGAAGAACGCAGCGAAAUGCGAUAAGUAAUGCGAAUUGCAGAAUUUCCGUGAGUCAUCGAAUCUUUGAACGCACAUUGCGCCCAUUGGUAUUCCGAUGGGCAUGCCUGUUCGAGCGUCAUUAUCACCCCUCAAGCCUGGCUUGGUGUUGGACCGCCCGUCGUUUGCGCGACCGGUCCCAAAGACAAUGACGGCGUCUGUUGGACCCUCGGUGCAAUGAGCUUUCUCCAAAGCACGCACUCGAGUUCAGGACCUUCAGGCCCGGUCACCUUUUAUACCCUUCUCAAGGUUGACCUCGGAUCAGGUAGGGAUACCCGCUGA